CUUACAAUAUUUAUAUAUAAAAAAAAAAAAUACUCUUAUAAAGACUGCACAAUUACAACUCCAAUAGGAACAUACAGAAAAACAAUCACAUUGACUGGGCAAUCCCCGCCCAAAAAAAAAAACCAAAAAAAGAAUAUGCCAAAUGGCAGUGGGUGAAAGGGCACCCAAUCAGAAAAAGAGGGAGGAAUGUGAGGUGACCAAUGAGAAAGAGAAGUAAGGAGGGAAAAGGAGGAGAAAAAAACCACCCAACCCAGACUUUUUUUUGACACGCAACCCGACCCGGCGGGUUCCCUGUUUUCCGACGCUUUCUCUGGCCAAUUUCGGGCGAAUUGCACCGGGCCACUUCCUGGAAAUCCCUCCUCGACCUCUCCUCUUCCAUUUACAUAAAAAAAAACCCCAGUCAAAUUGACCCCGAUUUAAUGAAGAACGGAAGUCGCCGAUUCCGUGGGUGUUCCGACGGAGAACCGUCGAUUCUGCAAAUUCCGACAACCACCACCAAACCACUCCUCUCGAGGCCAGGAACAAAUCCCAAACAAGUUUGGUGGCGGUGGAGCACCAGAGAAGACGAAUUGAUGUGCACCCAUUUCUAGGGUUUUCGGCGGAUCGAGGCAUUUUCAGGCCACUUCCCCGCCGAAUUGGAUUUCGGCCCAGGUGGUAUCAAGGCCUCAAUCACGGGACUAUAUUCCUCGGGAAUUAGUAUCAGUAGGUAUGGAAAAAAGACCAGGGUUUCUCUGAAAACUUUUCCUGCAGCCCCUGCUUAUCCUUGGACAAGCUCUCAAUUUCUUGUUCCAUCAUUAUUCAUUUGGCACCUUUUCCCCAUUUUCUGGUACGCAGCAUGCAGCUGUUCCAUUUUCUCACCAGACUUUUCUUGCAUUGCUUCAAAUUUCUGCCGAUACUGAGCUUGUAUUCUGUUCAUCUUGUACUGCAUUUCCAAUUCCCUUUGGCCAAUGUAGAACAUGACACUUUUGUGUGCACUCUUCA
Molecule: long non-coding RNA, 981 nt
Organism: Pyrus x bretschneideri (Chinese white pear)
Lineage: Eukaryota; Viridiplantae; Streptophyta; Magnoliopsida; Rosales; Rosaceae
Exons: 2
Source: RefSeq, a predicted model, not a curated record